GAGUUUGAUUCUGGCUCAGAUUGAACGCUGGCGGAUGCUUUAGCUAGCUGCAAGUCGAACGGCAGCACGGACUUCGGUCUGGUGGCGAGUGGCGAACGGGUGAGUAAUGUAUCGGAACGUGCCUAGUAGGGGGAUAACUACGCGAAAGCGUAGCUACUGCAUACCGCCCUUCGGGGAAAGCGGGACCUUCGGGCCCUCGCAAUUAGAGCGGCCGAUAUCGGAUUAAAUGGGUUGGUGGGGUAACGGCUCACCAAGGCGACGAUCCGUAGCUGGUUUGAGGACGGCUGGCUACGACUGGGACCAGACACGGUCCGUAUUCGGGCUGGAGGCAGCAGGGGAAUUUGACAGCCCGGGGAAACUCCUGAUCCAGCCAUCCCGCGUGUGCGAUGAAGGCCUUCGGUUGUUAAUCUUUGGCAGGAAAGAAACGGCACGGGAUACUACCCGUGCAACUGACGGCACCUACAAGAAUAAGCACCGGCUAACUGGCGCCAGCAGCCGCGGCCACGGGGGUGCAAGGCGUUAAUCGGAAUUACUGGGGCGUAAAAGCGUGCGCAGGCGGUUCGGAAAGAAAGAUGGAACCCAGAGCUUAACUUUGGAAAUCGCAUUUUUAAUCACCGAGCGAGGAAGUCAGAGGGAGGUGGAAUUCCGCGUGUAGCAGUGAAAUGCGUAGAUAUGGUGGAGGAACACCGACACAGAAGGCAGCCUCCUGGGAUAACACUGACGCUCAUGUAAUGGAAAGCGUGGGGAGCAAACAGGAUUAGAUACCCUGGUAGUCCACGCCCUAAACGAUGUCAACUACGUUGGGGCCUUCGGGCCUUGCAAAAAGUAGCUAAUGGCGUGAAGUUGACCGCCUGGGGAGUACGGUCGAUUAAAACUCAAAGGAAUUGACGGGGACCUGCAACAAGCGGUGGAUGAUGUGGAUUAACUGAUGCAACGCGAAAAACCUUACCUACCCUUGACAUGUCUGAAUCCCGAAGAGAUUUGGGAGUGUCGCCAAGAGAACCGGGAAUACAGGUGCUGUAUGGCUGUCGUCACCGUGUCGAGAUGUUGGGUUAAGUCCCGCAACGAGCGCAACCCUUGGCUGCUGCUACGAAAGGGCAAUUUAAUGAGACUGCCGGUGACAAACUGGAGGAAGUGGGGAUGACGUCAAGUCCUCAUGGCCCUUAUGGGUAGGGCUUCAAGCACGUCAUACGGGAAAUGGUCGGGACAGGUCGCCAACCCGCGAGGAGCUAAUCCCAGAAACCCGAUCAGUCCGAUCGCAGUCUGCAACCUCGACCAGGAAGUCGGAAUCGCUGUAAUCGCGGAUCAGCAUGUCGCGGUGAAUACGUUCCCCGGGUCUUGUACACACUGCCCGUCACACCAUGGAGUGGGUUUUACCUGUGAAGAGUUAGCCCAACUGCAAGGAGGGCGAUUACCGACGUAGUAGGAUUCAUGACUGGGGUGAAGUCGUACGU
This 1454-nucleotide ribosomal RNA is filed under the name uncultured Bordetella sp. Its description in RNAcentral is "partial 16S-23S ribosomal RNA intergenic spacer". It matches the Rfam family "Bacterial small subunit ribosomal RNA". Lineage: Bacteria; Pseudomonadati; Pseudomonadota; Betaproteobacteria; Burkholderiales; Alcaligenaceae. The record is from RNAcentral.